Molecule: non-coding RNA, 768 nt
Filed under: Pterostichus niger
Lineage: Eukaryota; Metazoa; Arthropoda; Insecta; Coleoptera; Carabidae
Source: RNAcentral
UAAAAAUUUAUUUAAUUUUUUUUUUACAUGUAAAUUUUCGUAUGUUUUUAAUUAAAUUUAAAUAGUUUAUUUAAAAAAAUUUAUUCACAGUAUUUAAUUUUAAUAAUUUAAGAAAUUAAGAAUUAGAAAUAAAUUUUAAUAUUAACAAAUUUUGUGCCAGCAGUUGCGGUUAUACAAAAAAUGUAAAUAAAUUUUGUUAGUAAGUAAAUAUAUGAAUUAUUAAUUUUAAAUUAAAAUUUUAUUUAUUAGGUGAAAUUUGAAAUAAAAAAUUAAUUUAUAAAAAAGUUUUUAAUAUUAUGAAAUUUAUAUUUAAACUAGGAUUAGAUACCCUAUUAUUUUAAAUGUAAAAUAAAUUAUUAAAGUAGUAUUAGUUAUGUUCUUGAAAUUUAAAAAUUUUGGCGGUAUUUUAGUCUAUUUAGAGGAACCUGUUCUAUAAUUGAUAUUCCACGAUUAACUUUACUUAUUUUAUAAAUUUGUAUAUCGUUGUUAUUAGAAGAUUUUAAUAGAAAAUAAAUUUUUAAUAUUUUAUAUUAUAAAAUAUAUCAAAUCAAGGUGCAGUAUAUAUUUAAGAAGAAAUGGGUUACAAUAAAAAUAUUUAAACGGAUUAAAUUUUUAAUAAAAUUUAUAAAGGUGGAUUUAAUAGUAAUAAAAUUAAAUUAAAUUUUAUGAUUUUAGCUCUAAAAUAUGUACAUAUCGCCCGUCGCUCUUAUUAUAAAAUAAGAUAAGUCGUAACAUAGUAGAUGUACUGGAAAGUGUAUCUAGAAUAAC